Molecule: ribosomal RNA, 1187 nt
Filed under: Synechococcus sp. BX7
Lineage: Bacteria; Bacillati; Cyanobacteriota; Cyanophyceae; Synechococcales; Synechococcaceae
Description: bacterial SSU rRNA
Rfam family: Bacterial small subunit ribosomal RNA
Source: RNAcentral
CGGGUGAGUAACGCGUGAGAAUCUGCCCUCAGGAGGGGGAUAACGGCCGGAAACGGCCGCUAAUACCCCAUAUGCCGAGAGGUGAAAUGAAUUUCGCCUGAGGAUGAGCCCGCGUCUGAUUAGCUAGUUGGUGUGGUAAUGGCGCACCAAGGCGACGAUCAGUAGCUGGUCUGAGAGGAUGAUCAGCCACACUGGGACUGAGACACGGCCCAGACUCCUACGGGAGGCAGCAGUGGGGAAUUUUCCGCAAUGGGCGAAAGCCUGACGGAGCAACGCCGCGUGAGGGAUGAAGGCCUCUGGGCUGUAAACCUCUUUCCUCAAGGAAGAAGACAUGACGGUACUUGAGGAAUAAGCCACGGCUAAUUCCGUGCCAGCAGCCGCGGUAAUACGGGAGUGGCAAGCGUUAUCCGGAAUUAUUGGGCGUAAAGCGUCCGCAGGCGGCCUUGUAAGUCUGUCGUUAAAGCGUGGAGCUUAACUCCAUUUGAGCGAUGGAAACUACAAGGCUUGAGUGUGGUAGGGGCAGAGGGAAUUCCCGGUGUAGCGGUGUAAUGCGUAGAUAUCGGGAAGAACACCAGUGGCGAAGGCGCUCUGCUGGGCCAUAACUGACGCUCAUGGACGAAAGCCAGGGGAGCGAAAGGGAUUAGAUACCCCUGUAGUCCUGGCCGUAAACGAUGAACACUAGGUGUCGGGGGAAUCGACCCCCUCGGUGUCGUAGCUAACGCGUUAAGUGUUCCGCCUGGGGAGUACGCACGCAAGUGUGAAACUCAAAGGAAUUGACGGGGGCCCGCACAAGCGGUGGAGUAUGUGGUUUAAUUCGAUGCAACGCGAAGAACCUUACCAGGGUUUGACAUCCUGCGAAUCCCUUGGAAACGAGGGAGUGCCUUCGGGAGCGCAGAGACAGGUGGUGCAUGGCUGUCGUCAGCUCGUGUCGUGAGAUGUUGGGUUAAGUCCCGCAACGAGCGCAACCCACGUCUUUAGUUGCCAGCAUUCAGUUGGGCACUCUAGAGAGACCGCCGGUGAUAAACCGGAGGAAGGKGUGGAUGACGUCAAGUCAUCAUGCCCCUUACAUCCUGGGCUACACACGUACUACAAUGCUACGGACAARGKGUUGCAAGCUCGCGAGAGUUAGCUAAUCCCAUAAACCGUGGCUCAGUUCAGAUCGUAGGCUGCAACUCGCCUACAUGAAG